Molecule: ribosomal RNA, 497 nt
Filed under: uncultured bacterium
Lineage: Bacteria
Description: partial 16S ribosomal RNA
Rfam family: Bacterial small subunit ribosomal RNA
Source: RNAcentral
GAUGAACGCUGGCGGCGUGCCUAAUACAUGCAAGUCGAGCGAACAGACGAGGAGCUUGCUCCUCUGACGUUAGCGGCGGACGGGUGAGUAACACGUGGAUAACCGACCUAUAAGACUGGGAUAACUUCGGGAAACCGGAGCUAAUACCGGAUAAUAUAUUGAACCGCAGGGUUCAAUAGUGAAAGACGGUUUUGCUGUCACUUAUAGAUGGAUCCGCGCCGCAUUAGCUAGUUGGUAAGGUAACGGCUUACCAAGGCAACGAUGCGUAGCCGACCUGAGAGGGUGAUCGGCCACACUGGAACUGAGACACGGUCCAGACUCCUACGGGAGGCAGCAGUAGGGAAUCUUCCGCAAUGGGCGAAAGCCUGACGGAGCAACGCCGCGUGAGUGAUGAAGGUCUUCGGAUCGUAAAACUCUGUUAUUAGGGAAGAACAAAUGUGUAAGUAACUAUGCACGUCUUGACGGUACCUAAUCAGAAAGCCACGGCUAACUACGUG